GAUGAACGCUUGCGGCGUGCCUAAGAAAUGCAAGUCGAGCGGGGAUAGCAAUAUCCUAGCGGCGAACGGUCGCGUAACACGUAAGCAACCUGCCCCGAAGACCGGGACAACAGCCCGAAAGGGCUGCUAAUACCGGAUGUGGCCACUAAGAGACAUCUUUUGGUGAUUAAAGCGAUAAUAUCGGCUUCGGGAGGGGCUUGCGGCCUAUCAGCUAGAUGGUGGGGUAACGGCCUACCAUGGCGACGACGGGUAGCUGGUCUGAGAGGACGGCCAGCCGGACUGGGACUGAGAUAC
RNAcentral lists this ribosomal RNA (294 nucleotides) under uncultured bacterium. Its description in RNAcentral is "partial 16S ribosomal RNA". It matches the Rfam family "Bacterial small subunit ribosomal RNA", at positions 28 to 327 of the family's 1533-position model. The record is from RNAcentral.